CCUACGGGUGGCUGCAGUGGGGAAUAUUGGGCAAUGGGCGCAAGCCUGACCCAGCAACGCCGCGUGAAGGAAGAAGGCUUUCGGGUUGUAAACUUCUUUUGUCAUGGACGUAGCAAGUGACGGUACCUGCCGAAUAAGCCACGGCUAACUACGUGCCAGCAGCCGCGGUAAUACGUAGGUGGCAAGCGUUAUCCGGAUUUAUUGGGUUUAAAGGGCGUGUAGGCGGGAAGGUAAGUCAGGUGUGAAAACUAUGGGCUCAACCCAUAGCCUGCAUUUGAAACUGUAUUUCUUGAGUGCUGGAGAGGCAAUCGGAAUUCCGUGUGUAGCGGUGAAAUGCGUAGAUAUACGGAGGAACACCAGUGGCGAAGGCGGACUGCUGGACAGUAACUGACGCUGAGGCGCGAAAGCGUGGGGAGCAAACAGGAUUAGAUACCCUUGUAGUC
Molecule: ribosomal RNA, 443 nt
Filed under: uncultured bacterium
Lineage: Bacteria
Description: partial 16S ribosomal RNA
Rfam family: Bacterial small subunit ribosomal RNA
Source: RNAcentral